This 252-nucleotide ribosomal RNA is filed under the name uncultured bacterium. Its description in RNAcentral is "partial 16S ribosomal RNA". It matches the Rfam family "Bacterial small subunit ribosomal RNA", at positions 109 to 353 of the family's 1533-position model. The record is from RNAcentral.
AGUAACACGUAGGUAACCUGCCCAUGUGCCCGGGAUAACUUCUGGAAACGGAUGCUAAAACCGGAUAGGUAGCAGACAAGCAUUUGACUGGCUAUUAAAGUGGCUAAGGCCAUGAACAUGGAUGGACCUGCGGUGCAUUAGCUAGUUGGUGAGGUAACGGCCCACCAAGGCGACGAUGCAUAGCCGGCCUGAGAGGGCGGACGGCCACAUUGGGACUGAGACACGGCCCAAACUCCUACGGGAGGCAGCAUG